RNAcentral lists this long non-coding RNA (586 nucleotides) under Oryctolagus cuniculus (rabbit). RNAcentral describes it as "lncRNA (ENSOCUG00000032992.1)". Lineage: Eukaryota; Metazoa; Chordata; Mammalia; Lagomorpha; Leporidae. The record is from RNAcentral.
AUGUGUUGUCAUUUGGGCCACAUGCACAUUUUCUCUUCUUUUGCAAUGAUUCUCCUUGGAAGACAAAGCAAAGAUGAAAGCCACACCCAGAGCAAAUGUAGAUGGUUCACCAUCCCUUGGUGUCCUGGUUCACCAUCCCUUGGUCUCCCACUACCUGCUGAACAGCCACCAUCUCAUGAAAUUGGUUAUCUCCAGAAGUUUCCAGGCCAGGCGCCAAUAUGGGCUGAGAGUAACAUCAAAAACUCUACAGCUUGUAAAAUGAUGUUAAAGAGGUUUCUCCAAGGCGAUCUGAGUAAAAUACCAUCUUCCCUGCCGCAGGGACCUGUGUGGCAGACGACAGGUGUCGUCCUGUACUGGAAUAUUCGUUCCUCUGCGAUUUGGCCCCGUCCCUGCUUGUGGUGUGUUUCACUCAGCCUCGUGUUCCACGGUGGGGCUUGCUGGGAAGCUGUUUUCUCACUGAGUGGAGCCCACAGUUGAAAGAGUAAGUCCAGUAACUAUUAAAGUUCUUUUACAGCUAAUGCUCGCUUAUAACAAGAAAUCCCCCAAAUCUACUCAAUAAAAAUAGCAAAAGCAUUGUCUUCCCUCA